GACGAACGCUGGCGGCGUGCUUAACACAUGCAAGUCGAACGGAAAGGCCCUGCUUUUGCGGGGUGCUCGAGUGGCGAACGGGUGAGUAACACGUGAGUAACCUGCCCUUGACUUUGGGAUAACUUCAGGAAACUGGGGCUAAUACCGGAUAGGAGCUCCUGCUGCAUGGUGGGGGUUGGAAAGUUUCGGCGGUUGGGGCUGGACUGGCGGGUUAUCAGCUUGUUGGUGGGGUAGUGGCUUACCAAGGCUGUGACGGGUAGGCGGCCUGAGAGGGUGACCGGCCACAUUAGGACUGAGAUACGGCGCAGACUGCUACGGGAGGCAGCAGUGGGAAAUAUUGCACAGUGAGCCGAAGCCUGAGGCAACAACGCCGCGUGCGGGAUGACGGCCUUCGGGGUGUAAACCGCUGUGGCCUGUGACGAAGCGUGCGUGACGGUAAUGGGUAAAGAAGCACCGGCUAACUACGUG
This 468-nucleotide ribosomal RNA is filed under the name uncultured bacterium. RNAcentral's name for it is "partial 16S ribosomal RNA". It matches the Rfam family "Bacterial small subunit ribosomal RNA", at positions 28 to 507 of the family's 1533-position model. The record is from RNAcentral.